RNAcentral lists this ribosomal RNA (253 nucleotides) under uncultured bacterium. RNAcentral's name for it is "partial 16S ribosomal RNA". It matches the Rfam family "Bacterial small subunit ribosomal RNA", at positions 524 to 776 of the family's 1533-position model. The record is from RNAcentral.
UACGAAGGGGGCUAGCGUUGUUCGGAAUUACUGGGCGUAAAGCGCACGUAGGCGGAUAUUUAAGUCAGGGGUGAAAUCCCGCAGCUCAACUGCGGAACUGCCUUUGAUACUGGGUAUCUCGAGUAUGGAAGAGGUGAGUGGAAUUCCGAGUGUAGAGGUGAAAUUCGUAGAUAUUCGGAGGAACACCAGUGGCGAAGGCGGCUCACUGGCUCGAUACUGACGCUGAGGUGCGAAAGCGUGGGGAGCAAACAGG